CAGAGUGGCAAACAGAAAUUGGAGGAGGUGCAGAGGUGUCGUCUGUUUACAAGACUGGAAUUGACGUUCAUCAAACCAAUUGCAUCCAAAUUGCAGUCCUGCAUUAUUACUUGAAAACAAAAUGGGAUUGGAUGCAGAAACAGAAAGAAUAUGGAAAGAAUUUCAAGUGGAGGGUCCCCGGUGGAUGAUGCAAUCAACAGAAUACAUUGUGGAACUGCGCUCAAUUGCUGAUGCAAUUGUCGAUUAUCAUAGUGAAGUCUUCAUCGCAAAAAAAGCAUGC
This is a long non-coding RNA of Amblyraja radiata (thorny skate), 280 nucleotides long. RefSeq lists it as uncharacterized. NCBI's taxonomy places the organism in Eukaryota, Metazoa, Chordata, Chondrichthyes, Rajiformes, Rajidae. The record is from RefSeq and is a predicted model, not a curated record. The transcript has 3 exons.